GAUGAACGCUGGCGGGAGGCUUAACACAUGCAAGUCGAGCGGUAUUGGCUUUCGGGCCAAGAGAGCGGCGCACGGGUGAGUAACGCGUAUGCAACCUGCCCUUUACAGGGAGAUAGCCCGUUGAAAGACGGAUUAAUACCCCAUAUUCUUUAAGUGCCGCAUGGCACUUAAAGGAAAGCUGCGGCGGUAAAGGAUGGGCAUGCGUGACAUUAGCUGGUUGGUAAGGUAACGGCCUACCAAGGCAACGAUGUCUAGGGGAUCUGAGAGGAUGACCCCCCACACUGGUACUGAGACACGGACCAGACUCCUACGGGAGGCAGCAGUGAGGAAUAUUGGUCAAUGGGCGGAAGCCUGAACCAGCCAUCCCGCGUGAAGGAAGACGGCCCUACGGGUUGUAAACUUCUUUUCUGCAGGGGUAAUAGUCGCUACGUGUAGCGAUAUGCAAGUACUGCAGGAAUCAGCAUCGGCUAACUCCGUGCCAGCAGCCGCGGUAAUACGGAGGAUGCGAGCGUUAUCCGGAUUUAUUGGGUUUAAAGGGUACGUAGGCGGGCCGUUAAGUCAGUGGUGAAAAUCUGCCGCUCCACGGUAGAAGUGCCGUUGAAACUGACGGUCUUGAGUGCAUUCGAGGCAUGCGGAAUGUGUAGUGUAGCGGUGAAAUGCAUAGAUAUUACACAGAACCCCGAUUGCGAAGGCAGCAUGCCAGGUUGAUACUGACGCUGAAGUACGAAAGCGUGGGGAUCGAACAGGAUUAGAUACCCUGGUAGUCCACGCCGUAAACGAUGCUCACCAGCUGUUUGCGAUAUGAUAGUAAGCGGCCAAGCGAAAGCGAUAAGUGAGCCACCUGGGGAGUACGCCGGCAACGGUGAAACUCAAAGGAAUUGACGGGGGCCCGCACAAGCGGAGGAACAUGUGGUUUAAUUCGAUGAUACGCGAGGAACCUUACCUGGGCUUGAAUGGGUACCGACGUAGUUGGAAACAACUAUUUCUUCGGACGGUAUUCAAGGUGCUGCAUGGUUGUCGUCAGCUCGUGCCGUGAGGGUCGGGUUAAGUCCCAUAACGAGCGCAACCCCUACCGGUAGUUACCAGCAUGUAGCGAUGGGGACUCUACCGGGACUGCCACCGUAAGGUGCGAGGAAGGCGGGGAUGACGUCAAAUCAGCACGGCCCUUAUGUCCAGGGCUACACACGUGUUACAAUGGCCGGUACAGCGGGAAGCGGGUGAGUGAUCACGAGCAGAUCCCGAAAGCCGGUCCCAGUUCGGAUCGAAGUCUGCAACCCGACUUCGUGAAGCUGGAUUCGCUAGUAAUCGCGCAUCAGCCAUGGCGCGGUGAAUACGUUCCCGGGCCUUGUACACACCGCCCGUCACACCAUGGAAGUUGGGGGCGCCCGAAGUUGGCCGGCAAAUAGGCUGCCUAAGGCGAAAUCAAUGACUGGGGUG
This 1437-nucleotide ribosomal RNA is filed under the name uncultured Bacteroidota bacterium. RNAcentral describes it as "bacterial SSU rRNA". It matches the Rfam family "Bacterial small subunit ribosomal RNA". Lineage: Bacteria; Pseudomonadati; Bacteroidota. The record is from RNAcentral.